Conger conger (European conger) is the source of this 201-nucleotide small nucleolar RNA. RefSeq annotates it as small nucleolar RNA SNORA73 family. The record is from RefSeq and is a predicted model, not a curated record. Lineage: Eukaryota; Metazoa; Chordata; Actinopteri; Anguilliformes; Congridae. The transcript has a single exon.
CCUUUAGAGUCCUGUGAGGUUGCUUUCGCAUGGCUCUGUCUGUGUGACGAAUGGGAACGCAGCACUUCAGUGCCGUGACGUACAGUCCCGUUCCACGAUGUUGGAGAACAAGCCUGUCCCCAACUCUCGGUCUGGUGUGGACAGCGUCCUGUAUAUUCCUACAUCUUCCCAGAGAGAGAGAGAACAAUAAAAUCUACUUUA